Molecule: ribosomal RNA, 590 nt
Filed under: Irpex lacteus
Lineage: Eukaryota; Fungi; Basidiomycota; Agaricomycetes; Polyporales; Irpicaceae
Description: partial small subunit ribosomal RNA
Rfam family: Bacterial small subunit ribosomal RNA
Source: RNAcentral
MMSCAGCAGUCAAGAAUAUUAGUCAAUGCUCGAAAGAGUGAACUAGCUAACUGAAAUCACUUUAGAAGUGAUAACGUAAGGGAAAAUAAUGAUAUUACCUUACUAUAAGUGUUGUCCAAAUCUGGUGCCAGAAGACUCGGUAAGGCCAGGAACGCGAACGUUAGUCAUCUUAAACAGGCGUAAAGGGUGAGUAGGCAACUUUAAAAUUCUAAUUUUUUAAAAUAGCAAAUAAAAAAGAGGAAAAGUAGAAGAUAGAAUCUAGUAUAGGAAAAAAUAAAAUCGAGAAUAAAGGUUAAAAUCUGCAGUAAACUCGAUAGAAUACUAAAGGCGAAGGCAUUUUUCCAAUAAAGAUUGACGCUGAGGAACGAAGGAUAGGGCAAGAAUCAGGAUUAGAUACCCUGGUACUCCUUUCUGUCAACAAUGAAUGGUAGUCACUAAAAAAUAUUAGUGUCAAUGUUAACACGUUAACCAUUCCGCCUUGUGAGUACGAUUGCAAAAUUGAAAACAAAAAAAUUAGUCGGUCUCGAAGCAAACGAAGUGAAGCAUGUUAUUUAAUUCGAUAAUCCGCMSGUCAACGAUGAAUGGUGGUU